AACAGUGGGACAGGUGAUAGGGUGAGACCCGUAGGUCAGAUCUGGGCUUCACCCAUUUCUCCCUGCUUCUAG
RNAcentral lists this microRNA precursor (72 nucleotides) under Mus pahari (shrew mouse). RNAcentral's name for it is "microRNA 6987 (MGP_PahariEiJ_G0006607.1)". Lineage: Eukaryota; Metazoa; Chordata; Mammalia; Rodentia; Muridae. The record is from RNAcentral.